GCAGUUAUUACAACUGCAGAACUAAAAGAGCCUUCAUUUAUUUACUGAAAUGGCAGUUUUUCAUCCGUUGCCUCAGGGCAACAUUGUGCAGUUAGACCACAUUUGUGUUAACUAUAACACGCUCAUGGAUGAGGUGUGUAGGGAUGCAUAGCUAUCAACAUAAUCAAGUUUUUUGCUGUACUAUCUACUGUUACUCACAGGAAAUGGAAGCAUAAACAUUUUAUCCAUAUAAGGAACAUGAUCAAGCGGUCAGGCUCAUUCCUUCAGACAGUGAGGACAGUGAGCUUGAGGAGAGUGACAGUGAGGAAGACUGGACUCCAGAAUCAGUUGGCCUGUGGAUGAAGAGGAACAUGAAGAUGAAGUUUCACAGGAAGAUGUUCCAUGCUCACCCCGUUGGAGAACACCCCACAAUGCCAACAUCACUGAUUACCCAGAAUGG
Long non-coding RNA from Melanotaenia boesemani (Boeseman's rainbowfish), 439 nucleotides. RefSeq lists it as uncharacterized. The transcript has 2 exons. Lineage: Eukaryota; Metazoa; Chordata; Actinopteri; Atheriniformes; Melanotaeniidae. The record is from RefSeq and is a predicted model, not a curated record.